CAACCAUCCUCCAAACAGCUGCCACAGAAAAUCUCGCCGAAGCUUGUAGGAGCCCUCCCUCAGCUGUAGGUUUUGCUUUCUGCAAUCUCAGGUUCCUGGGCUUAAUCACCGCCGGGAAACAGAUGAUCCUCUUUCUGGCCAAUCCUCAGAAAAUCGGCAGUAGCCUAACUCUAGGUCACAACUCUAGGUCAUUCCCCUCGCGUCCGCUCUCGCGGAGGCAUUUCAUCAUCUCACAGCAACACAAGGAGGGAUGAAACCACCGACAGCUGGGACCUUUCCAGAGGGCGAGGGUGCAUGAAGGAGAUGUGCUUGGGCGUGCGAGUGCCCCCUGCAGGCAGGGACGCACUCGGGUGCACUCGGAGUGCCCCCCAGGCGGCUGAGCCCUCCAGGCGGCUGAGCACACGACAUCUGGGGUUGUCUUCGGGGCUGCUAGAGCCUGGUGA
Panthera uncia (snow leopard) is the source of this 443-nucleotide long non-coding RNA. RefSeq lists it as uncharacterized. The record is from RefSeq and is a predicted model, not a curated record. The transcript has 3 exons. NCBI's taxonomy places the organism in Eukaryota, Metazoa, Chordata, Mammalia, Carnivora, Felidae.